Molecule: ribosomal RNA, 468 nt
Filed under: uncultured bacterium
Lineage: Bacteria
Description: partial 16S ribosomal RNA
Rfam family: Bacterial small subunit ribosomal RNA
Source: RNAcentral
GACGAACGCUGGCGGCGCGCUUAACACAUGCAAGUCGAACGGAAAGGCCCUGCUUUUGUGGGGUGCUCGAGUGGCGAACGGGUGAGUAACACGUGAGUAACCUGCCCUUGACUUUGGGAUAACUUCAGGAAACUGGGGCUAAUACCGGAUAGGAGCUCCUGCUGCAUGGUGGGGGUUGGAAAGUUUCGGCGGUUGGUGAUGGACUCGCGGCUUAUCAGCUUGUUGGUGGGGUAGUGGCUUACCAAGGCUUUGACGGGUAGCCGGCCUGAGAGGGUGACCGGCCACAUUGGGACCGAGAUACGGCCCAGACUCCUACGGGAGGCAGCAGUGGGGAAUAUUGCACAAUGGGCGGAAGCCUGAUGCAGCAACGCCGCGUGCGGGAUGACGGCCUUCGGGUUGUAGACCGCUUUCGCCUGUGACGAAGCGUGAGUGACGGUAAUGGGUAAAGAAGCACCGGCUAACUACGUG